Molecule: ribosomal RNA, 494 nt
Filed under: uncultured bacterium
Lineage: Bacteria
Description: partial 16S ribosomal RNA
Rfam family: Bacterial small subunit ribosomal RNA
Source: RNAcentral
GACGAACGCUGGCGGCGUGCUUAACACAUGCAAGUCGAACGGUGAAGCGCCUUCCUUUUUGGUGGGUGUGGAUGAGUGGCGAACGGGUGAGUAACACGUGAGUAACCUGCCCCCUUCUUCUGGAUAACCGCAUGAAAGUGUGGCUAAUACGGGAUAUUCUGGGUCUGUCGCAUGAUGGGUCUGGGAAAGAUAUUGUUUCGGUGGGGGAUGGGCUCGCGGCCUAUCAGCUUGUUGGUGGGGUGAUGGCCUACCAAGGCGGUGACGGGUAGCCGGCCUGAGAGGGUGGACGGUCACACUGGGACUGAGACACGGCCCAGACUCCUACGGGAGGCAGCAGUGGGGAAUAUUGCACAAUGGGCGCAAGCCUGAUGCAGCGACGCCGCGUGAGGGAUGGAGGCCUUCGGGUUGCGAACCUCUUUCGCCAGUGAAGCAGGCCUGCCUCGUUUGUGGGUGGGUUGACGGUAGCUGGAUAAGAAGCGCCGGCUAACUACGUG